UUUUAACAGCAACGAAGAAAUCUGAGACACAUACCAUCUCUAUACAUUCCACUUGGGAAGGACUUUUCAUAAAUUACCAUGGUGGGUAAGACACGUCCAUCUGCAGAGACACAUACAUUUGCUGUUGUGUGGUUUGAGGUGACAACUACUCGAGAUUGUGCCUGUCUCCUGUCAGCUACACAGACCUUGUCUAGGGACAUACCCUUCCCAAAGCCUGUCUCGUCCACAUUGAAUAUGCACUCUGGCUUAUUUCCGAGACCUUGAAAUGGAUUGAUUGACAAACAUUAAUAUAAUAGCUUGAAGUGCUGUGCCAUGACUGUCUCAUUUGACAUUCUUGUCCUUCCACCAUCGACUAGUUGGGGACUCUUCAUCGAUAGUCUUGGAUGCCGUGAUAGAAAAGACCUAAACCAUUUAUUGGACGGACCGUUUCCUGAUCCUGACAGUUGUCUGCCGCUUUUGGACACAAUACCUCUGACAAAUGAUUUUAUUACUUUCCGUGUUAAAGGCAUAGCUCUGGCCUGACAGUAUACUAUAUAUGCCACUAAUUGCUCCUCCUCUACUUUGCUUAACACCCGGACUGGAUGGCCUUUCAAUAAUCCUUUUUGAUGACGGGAUAUGGUCAUGCGAUUUAUUUUAUGUAGCUUCUCAAGACUUCUAAUUGACUUCCCAGGCUUUGCAUCUUCAAUAGCUUGUUUCAUUUGAUCCGGUGUGUAUUUCUUAUAUUUUCCUGUUGAACAACAUGUGUUUGCUAAUAAUUAUUCAAAUAAAAUUUUAACUGUA
Molecule: long non-coding RNA, 780 nt
Organism: Pecten maximus
Lineage: Eukaryota; Metazoa; Mollusca; Bivalvia; Pectinida; Pectinidae
Exons: 2
Source: RefSeq, a predicted model, not a curated record